UAAGGGAAAGCUGCCAUUAUUUUACUGUAUACAAUGCUCUCGAAACCAUCCAAGCCCCAUCAAUCUUGAUGAUUCUACCAAUUAAUACUCCUCAGGGAAGUGGUGGAAUAACUGUCCCUGGAAGUGUUCAUAAAACAUACAUAGGAGGCCCCUAGUGACACACUUCAGUUACGGUCUUGGCAUCCCUGUGGUAAAAGUUGGAGUUGAUCUUAAAGGUCUUUUCCAACUGAUCUGAUUCUAUGGUUCUAUGAACUCAGCAGUAGCAGACAUGAGAUUUUGGACACUGUGCUGGCUUCAAGAGCUCUGCAUGGAGAAGACACCUUUCUGUCAUAGCACUCGCAGUGCUGCAAUUUAACCACUGGUAAAAGAUUUACAUGGAAAAAUUACUGAUGCUGUGAAAAAACAGACGGAAAGCUUGAAGCAGAAACAAGCCCUUAAAAAUACCAUCUCUUUUAUUUUCAACUUUAAAACUGGAAUGGACACGAAAGGUGAAGACAACUCAACAGGCUCAUUUUAUAGCGAUGCCUUUUGCUGUUGCCCUCACUGAGCCUCUCGUGGCUGGGAACUGUAAGAGCACUUGGAUGGUUUGAAGAUUCAAAAGCCGGUGCAUGGAGGCAGUGCCAGGACACUCACAGUGAAGACCCACAAGUGUGUGAGAAAAACCUCCUUCCAGCUGCACACCUCUUCUUAAAUACAAAAUGCAAUAAAGGAGUGAAAAAGAA
This is a long non-coding RNA of Neopsephotus bourkii (Bourke's parrot), 722 nucleotides long. RefSeq lists it as uncharacterized. Lineage: Eukaryota; Metazoa; Chordata; Aves; Psittaciformes; Psittacidae. The transcript is spliced from 2 exons. The record is from RefSeq and is a predicted model, not a curated record.